GGUUCUUGAGAGAAAGGGGUGUUUGGGAACAGCAAGAACAAAUGACUGGAAGUCAAAUCAUGUAUUACAAAUGGCUGGCCUAUGUUCUGUUAAAAUAGCUUUCCAGAUUGCUCCUCUCUUCUCUCUCUCUCUCUCUCUCUCUCUCUCUCUCUCUCUCUGUGUGUGUGUGUGUAUGUGUGUGUGAGUGUGUGUGUGAGUGUUUGUGCUUGUCUGUUGCUCUGUGUGUGUGUUCUGCUCUGCUCUACAUAGCUUUUUCUUGCUAUUCCAAAAACUCUCUGGUUGAGAAAUGUAGUUUUCUGCUGGUGACAGCUCUCUCUGCAGGUAAAAAAUUCUAAAACCUCUCUCAAUAGCUCAUGUGUUUUCUGACUAAAGUCAGAAAGGCUGCUAUAAAAACAAAAAUUCUGGAUCUUCCAACCAAGUCAGAAAUCCUGUUAGAAAAAUUCUAAAAGUAAUUCUUGGAUUUUCCCAUCAAAAUCAGAAAGACAGAAAAAAAUUCUAAAAGAGAUGUGUUCACUCUCCAUGGAUGUUCAGAGCAAAAUCAGAAAUCUUGAGCUGUUUUCGCUCUUCGGAGAUCUUCAGACAGCUCAGCUCUAAGUAGAGAAAAUUCUAAAGAAGAACUGUAAUCAUGGGUUUGCUCUAUCAUCUCAUGCAUACCAAAAGUCUAGUGUUUUAUUUACAUAUCAAUUCAUUUCUUUUUUCCAGGUUCCCUUUGACUAUCCUAUGAGUCAGCAUCCCAUGUCCAAAGACCUUUAAUUCUUAGGAGACAGCAAGCUCACAUUUUCUUUUAACAUUGGAAAAAAAUUUCAGAGGAUCUGCCUGCCUCUGUUAAGCACAAAUGCUAAUCGAACUGGGUGGGACCCUGUCCUGAAAUAAUCAUUUCUAGCACACGUGGGACUAACCAUGCUCUGUCCCAGGCUCUGAUCCUGAACUCAGGAAUUUGCCUUUGUAUGAACAAACAACAGAAACGCUUCUCUGGACGGGAUCUCUGACAUCACCACUCCCUAAAUCUUUUUAUCUCCAUCCUUAGUAUCUUUCUGACAAGUUGACUGACAGUGUAGCUGCCUCUAUUCCUUUAGAUUUACAAAGUCCCUCAUAUAAUUCAUAUUACAUCCUUAUAUUUUGCAUAGUGAGAAAUGAUAUAUCUUUGAACUCAUAGAGUUCUUUUCCAUAGCCUUAAGGACUGUCCUGAAGGUCCUGGUGUUCACUAUUCUGCUGAGACAUUAGCCACACCUUCCCCUUCAGGACUCACACUCUCUCAGAUUAUCAUGGAGUCAUUAACAUUAACAGGGAGGAUUUUACUCGGAGGAAGGUGAAAAUAUGUACAAUAUGAUACAAGGAAGCCUUAUGCGCAUGGCAACCACACUUGUGGAGGCCCACACCUGCUAGCCCUGUCCUAGGGGCAGGAACCCUGUCCUUCUGUCCCUACUAAGGCCUUGCCAGACUUCCACAGCAGGACUUUGGCUAUAUGUACGGGGCUGUCUUGAAACAGUACAUGAUAUUGAUCUGGAAUUCUUUAGAAGCUUGUCUACUUGCUAGACGUGAUGAUCUGAUCAUUUGCAAUUAAUGGUGCUGUCAUUCAGAUGGCUUUGUACUGCAGUCUAAAUAUAUAGUGAUAUAUAAAGAAGACUGGGCAGUGAAAUGGUAUCUUUGAAUAUCCAGGUUCCUGAUAUUCUCAAAAUUCCAAGGAACAGGGAUAUUAAUGAUGAGACGACUUUGAGCCCAGCCUCAGCUAGCCUGCUGCUGUUUCCAGAAUGAGGCAAAUACAAAUCAGCUGUGAUACUCAAGGUGCAGUGACAGAUUCCUAGAAGUCUUCAGAGAAAAGUGAGCCUGUAUGUAGUGACAGAUUCCUAGAAGCCUUCAGAGAAAAGUGAGCCUGUAUGUUAGUGGAUCUGGGAAGUCCCAGUACAGAACAAUAUCCACAUUGUCAUAACAGAUCUGGCUAGACGCUUAAUCAGAUAAAAUUGGCCAAAUAUAAAAAACAAAUUCCCUUCAACAUUGAAGUCUACACAAAAUAUAUAAUUGUGCUAAUGUUGUAUCAAAUAUCAACUUCUAUAUACACAGGCUUCUAUAUAUAAGACAUUAUUGGUGGAAAAGUGGUUACAGCAUUAUGAGAAUGAUUAAAACCAUUCUUAGUCUGGCACUAACAGAAAGCAAUGGGAACAUUUCCUAUGGACCAAAACAUGAUCUGAGAUAUUGUCCCUCUUAAACAAUUUUCUAAUUAUUAAGAAAGUCAACCAAGUGGUUAGCUAUGACAGUUAAAUGAGUUGCAUAUUUGUCGCCUUCAAGUUCUGGGCCCUGCAACAGCUUGGAAUGUUUCUUGAGUGCUGACUGAGAGGAGCUUGAUACAUGGCACCACCUUGUUACCCUGUUGGUGACAGGAUUUUUCUUUCUUUUCUGUGUGCUUUUACUCUGGUUUCUUCUAAAAACAAAACAAACAAUCUAACUAACAAACAAGACAAAAACAAAACCCAGAUGGAACUCCAAAGCUAAAAUUGGUAUUCUCUUAUUUAAACCCAGGAGUCAGUGAAAGGAAAUGUUGCAGCACGGGGGUUUUGGGAGAUGAUGGGAAGAGAAGGAUAAAUGUCAGUCAACAAAGGUCAAGUGAAUGUGGCUGAAGGACCACACAGAGAAGGAGGAAGAGGACGUGGCAAAGGUUAAGGGAUAAAU
RNAcentral lists this long non-coding RNA (2667 nucleotides) under Mus musculus (house mouse). Its description in RNAcentral is "long non-coding RNA chr6:80827137-80829804". The record is from RNAcentral. Lineage: Eukaryota; Metazoa; Chordata; Mammalia; Rodentia; Muridae.